AUGUUGGGAUCGGGAAUGGGAAUGGGGGAAAUUCCCAGAGAUCUUCCCGCGGCUCCGGCCUGGAACGGGAGCGGUUCCCAAAUCCCAAAAUCUGGGAAUUCUGGGAUCUCCUUUCCCCAAAAUCCGGGAAUUCUGGGAUUUCCUCUCCCUCAAAUCCAGGAAUUCCGGGAUCUCCUCUCCCCCAUUCCUGAGGAUCCCAUCAGGACCCUCCCGGCACCUCCAAAUUCCCUCCAAAUCCCCCAAAAUUCCCGAAAAUCCCAGCGGGAUGAUCCCGACUCCCAUCCCUGCCAGGAGUUCCCGUUCUCAGCCCCCCAAAAAUUCCCAAAAAUCCACAAAAUUCCGCCCCAAAUCCCCCCAAAAUUCCCAAAAAUCUCCCGAAAAUUCCUCCAAAACUCUCAGUCCCCCCCAAAUUCCCAAAAAUCCUCUCAAUCCUUCCCCAAAUUCCUGGAAUUUUCCCCCAAUCCCUCCCAGAAUUUAAAAGAGAUCCCUCAAAAUUCCCAAAAAUCUCCCAAAUUCCCAAAAAAACUCCCUCAAAAUUCCCAAAAAUCUCCUGAAUUCCCAAAAAACCCCCUCAAAAUUCCCAAAAAUCUCCCGAAUUCCCAAAAAACUCUCCCAAUCCCCUCCAAAAAUUCCCUCAAAAUCCCAAAAAUCCUCAAAUCCUCCCCAGAAUUCCCGGAAUUUCCUUUUCCAGCGGCUCGGGAUUUCGGGAUCGGAGCCGCCCGGGGGAAUCCCGGGAUGAGGCUCCGGGAAGGGAUCCCAAAAAUCCGGGAUUUGGGAUCCGAGUUUGGUUUAUUACCAUCAGAAUUCCGGCAUUUGGAAUUUCGGGACUCGCAGCAUUCCCGGUUCCCGCCUGCUUUUCCCGCUAUUUAUUCCCGGUGUUUAUUCCCGCCAUUCCCGUUGUUUAUUCCCGGUAUUUUUUCCCGCCAUUCCCGGUGUUUAUUCCCGGGACCUUCCUUGAGCCGCGGCCCAGCCGGGACCCCCCAAUUCCCGAUGAAUUCCCAAGAAAUUCCCAAGGAAUUCCUGGGAUCCCGUCCCUCUGUUCUGGCCAUUCCCAAACUUUCCUGGGAGACGGGAGAGCGCCGCUGCCCCCGGACAGUCCCGGAAUUCCCGGGAUUUCCCCCCGAAUUCCCAGGAUUUCCCCGAAUUCCCAGGAUUUCCCCCCGAAUUCCCGGGAUUUCCCCGAAUUCCCAGGAUUUCCCCCCGAAUUCCCCGGAUUUUCCUGAAUUCCCAGGAUUUCCCCCCCGCAUUCCCGAGGGUCCCGAUCCCGGCCCCUCCCCCUCUCCCGGCCCUUCUCUCCUGCCGGGAGCGGGAAUUUGGGAAUUCGGGAAUUCCGAGGGUCCCAGGAUGGGGCGAGGGGCGGCCGUGCCUCAGUUUCCCCUGGAUUGCGGCGGCGCCAGGAAGGGGCGGGAAUUCGGGAAUUUGGGGGAUCCACGGACGAGGGGGAGGGGCCGUGCCUCAGUUUCCCCAGGAAAGCCGCAGGAAAGAGCGGGAAUUCGGGAAAAUUUGGGAAUUCGGGGGAUCCCAGGAUACGGAGAGGGGAGGGAUUUGUGCCUCAGUUUCCCCCGGAACGCGGCAGCGAGGUGCGGGAAUCGGGGAAUUCGGGGAAUUGGGGAUUCGGGAAUUUGGGGGAUUCGGGGUCGAUCCCCCCCGAGCUGGGCUGGGAAUUGUCUCGGGAAUUGUCUCGGGAAUUGUCUCGGGAAUUGUCUCGGGAAUUCUUUCGGGAAUUGUCUCGGNAAAUCCAGGAGAGCUCCGGGAAACUCCGGGAGAGCUCCGGGAAAAUCCAGGAGAGCUCCGGGAAAACUCCGGGAAAACUCCGGGAGAGCUCCGGGAGCGGCCCCGCGGAUCCAUCGGAGCGGGUACGGGAAUCCUGGAAUUCCCAAAUCCCCGAAUCCCCGAUUCCCUCCCGGAAUUCCCAAAUUCCCGAAUCCCCGAAUCCCUCCCUGA
This is a long non-coding RNA of Cyanistes caeruleus (blue tit), 1944 nucleotides long. The record is from Ensembl. Lineage: Eukaryota; Metazoa; Chordata; Aves; Passeriformes; Paridae.